Molecule: long non-coding RNA, 325 nt
Organism: Melopsittacus undulatus (budgerigar)
Lineage: Eukaryota; Metazoa; Chordata; Aves; Psittaciformes; Psittaculidae
Exons: 3
Source: RefSeq, a predicted model, not a curated record
CGUGAUCGUCGUAGGGAGCGGUAAUGGUGCGGAGCUGCGGGGGCCCCUUCCGCUCCGACGGGCCGGGCCGGGCUGGGCUGAGGCGAGGCGGCAGUGCCGCCGGCCGCCAUCACCAGAUGAAGAUUCUUCAUUAGAAGACAUGCACAUCAUAUGGGGCUGUACUCAUCAUCUGAAGUCAAGCAAAGAGGAAUGCCAGAAAGACUAAAGUACUAGAAUAGUUCAUAUGAAGGAGCCUUCCUGAACAAAAUGGAUUCUGGCUCUGGCACUCUGACUGUCAGUGCCAAAAUCGUGUGAAGCUGCAGCAUGUCCAGGAACAAGGCAAGUG